CACUUCAACUACAAAGUGAGGAAAAUAUUUUUAUGAAUUUGAUGCUUGAAUCAGUAUGAGUGAAAAAUAAUCUACCAAGUGGGCAGAAGAAGGGUUUUGUAAAUAGCACUAUACAUUGUUGCCAAACUCUGAGAUACAUCUUCAGAUGACAAACUACUUCAGGAGGCUAAAGAUGAAACACAUGUUUGCCUACUGGUUGGGCAAACAGACAAUGAGGACCAUCUGUUAAUUACCACCAGAAGACCUGGAGAGAGAAGAAACAAGUGAAACUGCCCAAGGUGGGGACUUCUGGAGUCCAUUAGAUGAGGCACGUGGAGCCCUCAGGAACAGGAUUGUGGCUUCAGAAGAACUUCCUCACCCCUCUUCAAAAAGAACUUCCUCACCCCUUCUCACUCCUCCCCACCAGUGAGAAAACCAGGAAAUGGACUUCACCGGAAUAAGACUAUGUGGCACAUGGAUGUCAGACUUUCAGCCUCCUAAACUGGGAGAAAGAAAGAAUGACUUCCAUCCUGGUUCUGCUGAGAACUUGAAAAACUAGAAGAAUCAACAAAUGAUGGCAACAUGUCUCUCUUCAUUUUCCCACUACCACAAUAUUUUGCUUCCUGCCUCUUGAGCUUUCUUAUACACAUUGGCAAGUUAUUUGGUCCCUGCUUCUUCACACAAUUUUCCUUGUACUUAAACAAAUACAGGAAAGCUGGGUUAUAAAAAUUGGACACUGACUUCACAACCCACAAAACAACUUUUGUUAAACCAAAUCAGCAAUAAUAGUGUUUUGAUAGAUCUUUUGUCAUUUGAGUUCUACAUCUAUUUUAAGUAACAGCAUCAGUAAUCAAAAAUAGGUAGUCAAUUAGGAGAGAGUCUAAUGGGGCACCUCAUGGGUACCUCACGUUGGUUGGGGGAGGAAAUGGGCUGGCUUGGUCUUAAACAUUUGAACUUUUUGUUCCCGAAGUAUCCCAAUGGCAGAUGUGAGGAACUGAACGUGCUUCCCCCAAAGUCAUAAGAUGAAAUCCCAACACUGAUGUGAUAGUAUCAGAAAGUGGAGUCUUUGGAAGAUGAUUAUUACAGCCAGCUCUCAUGAAUUAGGGCCUUUAUAGGAACAGCUGAAAAAACCUGCCUCCUCUCCUCCCCACCACGUGAGGAUAAGAAAAGAUAAGGAUCUGUAAACCAGGAAGCAGGCCCUCAUCACACAGGGUUUGCUGGUACCUUGGUCUUAGACUUCCCAGGCUCCAAAACUGUGAAAAAUAAAUGUUUGCUGUUUAAGUCACCCAUUCUAUGAUAAUUUGUUGUAGCAGUUUGAACAGACUAAGACAGCAGAAAAGGAUCUUAUUAAAUUCAGUCCGUUGGCAGGUGGAAAAGCAUCAGACUAAUUACACCCAAAGGAUAAAGCACUGGUCUAUUGGCUCAACCAGAAAUAUUACUGAAACUCAGAAGCAGAAAAUUUAUUAGUGUGUUAAGAAUAAAUUAGCAAACGUAUGACCUAGAAUAUGACAUUUUAACCAUGCCAGACGGCAUGACCUCCAUUUGGAACCAAAGCAAUUAU
Molecule: long non-coding RNA, 1540 nt
Organism: Fukomys damarensis (Damara mole-rat)
Lineage: Eukaryota; Metazoa; Chordata; Mammalia; Rodentia; Bathyergidae
Exons: 3
Source: RefSeq, a predicted model, not a curated record